This 269-nucleotide ribosomal RNA is filed under the name uncultured prokaryote. RNAcentral describes it as "partial 16S ribosomal RNA". It matches the Rfam family "Bacterial small subunit ribosomal RNA", at positions 524 to 792 of the family's 1533-position model. The record is from RNAcentral.
GACAGAGGAGGCAAGCGUUGUUCGGAAUCAUUGGGCUUAAAGAGGGUGUAGGCGGCCGCGCAAGUGUUCUGUGAAAUGCCACGGCUCAACCGUGGAAUGGCAGGGCAAACUACGUGGCUUGAGGUCGGUAGAGGUGCCUGGAACUCUUGGUGGAGCGGUGAAAUGCGUAGAUAUCAAGAGGAACGCCGGAGGCGAAAGCGGGGCACUGGGCCGAUUCUGACGCUGAGACCCGAAAGCGUGGGGAGCAAACAGGAUUAGAUACCCCAGUA